Molecule: ribosomal RNA, 468 nt
Filed under: uncultured bacterium
Lineage: Bacteria
Description: partial 16S ribosomal RNA
Rfam family: Bacterial small subunit ribosomal RNA
Source: RNAcentral
GACGAACGCUGGCGGCGUGCUUAACACAUGCAAGUCGAACGGAAAGGCCCUGCUCUUGUGGGGUGCUCGAGUGGCGAACGGGUGAGUAACACGUGAGUAACCUGCCCUUGACUUUGGGAUAACUUCAGGAAACUGGGGCUAAUACCGGAUAGGAGCUCCUGCUGCAUGGUGGGGGUUGGAAAGUUCCGGCGGUUGGGGAUGGACUCGCGGCUUAUCAGCUUGUUGGUGGGGUAGUGGCUUACCAAGGCUUUGACGGGUAGCCGGCCUGAGAGGGUGACCGGCCACAUGGGGACUGAGAUACGGCCCAGACUCCUACGGGAGGCAGCGGUGGGGAAUAUUGCACAAUGGGCGGAAGCCUGAUGCAGCAACGCCGCGUGCGGGAUGACGGCCUUCGGGUUGUAAACCGCUUUCGCCUGUGACGAAGCGUGAGUGACGGUAAUGGGUAAAGAAGCACCGGCUAACUACGUG